RNAcentral lists this ribosomal RNA (253 nucleotides) under uncultured bacterium. Its description in RNAcentral is "partial 16S ribosomal RNA". It matches the Rfam family "Bacterial small subunit ribosomal RNA", at positions 524 to 776 of the family's 1533-position model. The record is from RNAcentral.
UACGGAGGGUGCGAGCGUUGUCCGGAAUCACUGGGCGUAAAGGGCGCGUAGGCGGCGCGGUAAGCGUGCGGUGAAAGCCCGGGGCUCAACCCCGGGUCGGCCGUGCGGACUGCCGGGCUCGAGCACUGUAGAGGCGGGUGGAAUUCCGGGUGUAGCGGUGGAAUGCGUAGAGAUCCGGAAGAACACCGGUGGCGAAGGCGGCCCGCUGGGCAGUGGCUGACGCUGAGGCGCGAUAGCGUGGGGAGCAAACAGG